AUCCUUGUCCUAAGCUAACCCUACUCCAAAUUUGUUUCUAAACCAAUCUGGUCAGCGAAAAGACGUCGUUGUUCUUACGCCAAGCGACGGUAGGUUUUCGUCGCUUGGCGUAAGAACAACGUCUGUGAGCAGGCUAAUCUCAGUGGUGCCAAUUCUCGAUUUAGGAUUUAGGCCGCUAAUUUAGUCCACGUGCUAUGUCACAGAUUGUAUGUUCUUUUGGUAAAGACCGCGCAAAGAAAAAAGCUACGACGAGCAACGUGUGACGUCAUCACACAGUUCUUCCACUGCAUGCAUCCACUCUCCUCCCUCCCCCCAAGAAGUCUUUAACCCCCUCCCCCAAAUAGUGCUAUGGCGUGCAAGCGAAGCGACACUAUUUUACAAUUUGUUUCAUUGCUGUAUGUAACCCAUAGACCGUACCAUUGUAGGUAUUUCUGUUUUCAAAAUAAUGACGUCGAGGCUUGCGUGUAUGUAACUUGUGUACGCUCCAGUAAUUCUGCACAUGACCUAUAAAAGUUGUUUACUCGUAAUGCUUUCAACACCCAAAAUUUUUAAAAUAAAGUUUAAGAAUUUUACAAAGACAUAUUUUGAAUACUAUCCGUGAGAAAAUCUUCAACCGUAAAGAAAUUUUUCGUGCGUUUUGAAACCGCGUAUUGCUGAGCCACGUUGAAUGUGCAUUGUCGAAAGUUAUAUAAAGGGGCUCGUUAUAAACCCCAACACAUUCAUAAUCUUCUUAUACUGUCAAGCAGACAAGAUUGGUCACUCGAGUUGAAAUAUUUAGGUGCGUAUGUAAUGUCAUGUAUAUGCUAUUAUGGUAGAUCUAUAAUUCUGGGUAAAUAUCAAGAUUUUGUUGGCAGCUCACUCGAUUGAAUAAUAGUUGAAGGGAUUUGUAGAUAGAUAUCGAGUGGAAAUUUU
This is a non-coding RNA of Paramuricea clavata, 912 nucleotides long. The record is from the annotation of a GenBank genome assembly. Lineage: Eukaryota; Metazoa; Cnidaria; Anthozoa; Malacalcyonacea; Plexauridae.